CCUUGUUUGCGUUUGUGGAGUGACUGAGCGACUGAGCGACUGAGCUUUCCCUUUAGGCCUCCCCAGAGACGGCUGCAGCUUAGCUUUGACUUCCCGGGGGGGAACGGAGGACUUUGGUGCAUGCCGCAAGAGGGGUGUUCCCUGCUAGUCCCGCGAGCGCAGCGAGUGUCCUGUCUUCCUCCUUUUUACUUAGUCCAGAUCAGAGCCACGCGGUAGUUGUGUGGCCGAGGCCGCCCUGUAGCCAGGGCUUGGGCCUGUCCUUGCGUGGCCGCCUGUUCUGCUGGCGGCGUGGCAGCCCUGUAGUCGGGGUGUGUGUCCCAAGCUUAGGAGCCCUCUGUCCCUUGAGCAGCCCGCCCGCCCGCCCUGUACUCAGGUGUGGGGAGGCUGCAGCGUUGCAGCCGGCUGCUUUAGCCAUCCAGCUGGUGGGAAUGACCCCUCCCUGUCCCGUCAGAGGGUGCAGGUUGAGGUGCUGCUUGCGUGUGGGGUGACCUCCCCGCUCGGUGGGUCGAGGCUGCUCCCUGGGUUCCCCAAGAGAAGACGUUGGUGAUGUUCUGCUGCUGCCGGGCGGGCCCGCCUGUAGCUCAGGCGUUGGCGGGAGCCUCGUGCUCCGCGGGGCUUCUUGGAGAGGGUGAGGUGCGGGGGUACGGUCCUGUAGGCAGGGCUGUGUGUGCCCCCCGUGUGUGCUUGCUGAGCUGUGUUCCGAGAGACCCCCCCCCCCCCCCCCCCGGACUCGGGUGGGAAUGUGGCCCCGGCCUUUCAGAGGCACGGGGCUGCGAGGUGUGGGCUUGGGCUUGCGCCCUCCCUGGAAGUUGAGGCUGGGAUCCCGACUGCGGCCUUUGGCCGUGCCGCCCCGCUGCCUGGCUGCUGAGAGUUGUUCCUGCCGCUGGGGGGGAAACCGAGCUCUGUGGCUCCAGGGGUGUCGUCCACCCGCCUGUAAUCAGGGUCUGGGUGCGCGAGCGUUUGUGCUCUGCUGGCAGCCUGUGUGGGGUGACCGCCCCGUUAGCGGGGUGUGGGUCGAGGUGCCCCGGACUGGGAGAGAAGGAGCCUCUCCCGGCCGUAGGGAUGGGGGCUGCCCUGUAAGUCAGGGAGCAACCGUGCCCCGGAGUCCCAGGCCCUUUGCGUUGGAGGCAGUGGCUGGGGGCCCCCUGUAAGCAGGGAAGCUGGCUCUUUGGCCGCUGCUUUUUGUACGCCCAGCCCCAUUUGCCCAGCCUGCCCGCCUCUGUGAUCCCCCGCAGCACCGGCUGGAAGUCCGCCGCGCGUCAGUGAGGAGCUGCUGCAGAAGAAAGAAGAAGCAGCAGCGUGGGGACCUGGGCUUCAAAUCAAACCUCAGUUAUGAGUGACAGUAGAAGAAAAAAAACCGCUCGCAGCACAAGCGAAAGAAGUUCUAGUGGAAAUGCUGAGUCACGGCUUGAGAUUUUCC
This 1420-nucleotide long non-coding RNA is filed under the name Gallus gallus (chicken). RNAcentral describes it as "lncRNA (ENSGALG00010023325.1)". The record is from RNAcentral. Lineage: Eukaryota; Metazoa; Chordata; Aves; Galliformes; Phasianidae.